AUUCCGAAGGGCGCUUCUCCAAGAAUACGCGCGUCCGUACAUUGCCAGCAUUGGUGAUUGGCGAUGUGAGGAAGGUCGGUGCGGUUUCGCCCCGGCCUUUUUUGUU
Molecule: small RNA, 106 nt
Filed under: Rhizobium pisi
Lineage: Bacteria; Pseudomonadati; Pseudomonadota; Alphaproteobacteria; Hyphomicrobiales; Rhizobiaceae
Description: sRNA ar35
Rfam family: Alphaproteobacterial sRNA ar35
Source: RNAcentral